This 35-nucleotide ribosomal RNA is filed under the name Telipogon frymirei. RNAcentral's name for it is "partial 18S ribosomal RNA". The record is from RNAcentral. Lineage: Eukaryota; Viridiplantae; Streptophyta; Magnoliopsida; Asparagales; Orchidaceae.
UUUUUUCCGNCGGUGAACCUGCGGAAGGAUCAUUG